CUGCUCAAUGAAAAAUUUUAAAUAGCUGCAAUUUUUGUACUAAGGUAGCAUAAUCAUUUGUUUUUUAAUUUUAAACUAGAAUGAAAGGUAAAACAAAUUAUUUCUUUAUUUUUUAUUUUAUUCCAAUUUAUAUUAAAUAUAAAAAUAUAUUUUUUUAAAAAAAAGACGACAAGACCCUAUUGAACUUUACUUUAGUUAAGCUGGGGAAGCUUAAUAAUAAACAUUUUAUUAAAAAUUUUAUAAAUGACCCAAAACAUUUGAUUAAUUAAUCAAGUUACCAUAGGGAUAACAGCGCAAUAAACUUUUAAAGUUCUUAUCUAAAAAUUUGUUUACGACCUCGAUGUUGAAUUAGAAACCUUUAUUAAGCAAAAAUA
This 374-nucleotide ribosomal RNA is filed under the name Spintharus sp. JA 00003602A. RNAcentral describes it as "partial 16S ribosomal RNA". Lineage: Eukaryota; Metazoa; Arthropoda; Arachnida; Araneae; Theridiidae. The record is from RNAcentral.